UGCGGAAGGAUCAUUACUGUGAUUUACUACUACACUGCGUGAGCGGAACGAAAACAACAACACCUAAAAUGUGGAAUAUAGCAUAUAGUCGACAAGAGAAAUCUACGAAAAAACAAACAAAACUUUCAACAACGGAUCUCUUGGUUCUCGCAUCGAUGAAGAGCGCAGCGAAAUGCGAUACCUAGUGUGAAUUGCAGCCAUCGUGAAUCAUCGAGUUCUUGAACGCACAUUGCGCCCCUCGGCAUUCCGGGGGGCAUGCCUGUUUGAGCGUCGUUUCCAUCUUGCGCGUGCGCAGAGUUGGGGGAGCGGAGCGGACGACGUGUAAAGAGCGUCGGAGCUGCGACUCGCCUGAAAGGGAGCGAAGCUGGCCGAGCGAACUAGACUUUUUUUCAGGGACGCUUGGCGGCCGAGAGCGAGUGUUGCGAGACAACAAAAAGCUCGACCUCAAAUCAGGUAGGAAUACCCGCUGAACUUAAGCAUAUCAAAA
RNAcentral lists this ribosomal RNA (487 nucleotides) under Pichia kudriavzevii. Its description in RNAcentral is "eukaryotic LSU rRNA". The stretch from base 121 to 273 matches the Rfam family "5.8S ribosomal RNA". The record is from RNAcentral. Lineage: Eukaryota; Fungi; Ascomycota; Pichiomycetes; Pichiales; Pichiaceae.